This 282-nucleotide non-coding RNA is filed under the name Clostridiales bacterium. RNAcentral's name for it is "T-box sequence". It matches the Rfam family "T-box leader". From Rfam's summary of the family: Uncharged tRNA acts as the effector for transcription antitermination of genes in the T-box leader family. T-boxes are found upstream of many aminoacyl-tRNA synthetase genes and some amino acid biosynthetic genes usually in Gram-positive bacteria. The anticodon of a specific tRNA base pairs to a specifier sequence within the T-box motif, and the NCCA acceptor tail of the tRNA base pairs to a conserved bulge in the T-box antiterminator hairpin. The record is from RNAcentral. Lineage: Bacteria; Bacillati; Bacillota; Clostridia; Eubacteriales.
UUAAAUUUUAUGAUACAGAAUAGUAAAUAUAAUAUGUUGUACCAAGCGAGUUAGUGGUGGUGAGAGACUAAUUACAGUAUUAUAUUGAAUGGGCUGUUGAGAAUGAGUGCGAAGUAGUAGUAGCACUUCACGGGAUUCCACCGUUAAAAGGAUAGGAUAUCGAUAGCACUCAUGCUAGUCCGUAUCUGAAAGAGGCAGUUAAAAUUAGAUUAUAAAGUUUGUAUCUAUAUAUUGUAAACUGUAUUAAUUGGGUGGUACCACGAGCAUAAACUCGUCCCAUAC